AAAUACGGCGCUUUUUAACGACACACACGUUUCGUCACAUGCGGUGGGGUCCCAAUAGGGUACCGUAUGGGAAGCGUGGAGGCUUAACC
This 89-nucleotide small RNA is filed under the name Legionella jamestowniensis DSM 19215. RNAcentral's name for it is "t44 RNA". It matches the Rfam family "t44 RNA". Rfam says of the family: This family consists of a number of bacterial RNA genes of between 135 and 170 bases in length. The t44 gene is found between the map and rpsB genes in all species in the full alignment apart from Shigella flexneri. Lineage: Bacteria; Pseudomonadati; Pseudomonadota; Gammaproteobacteria; Legionellales; Legionellaceae. The record is from RNAcentral.